This 262-nucleotide unclassified non-coding RNA is filed under the name Hevea brasiliensis (rubber tree). Lineage: Eukaryota; Viridiplantae; Streptophyta; Magnoliopsida; Malpighiales; Euphorbiaceae. The record is from RNAcentral.
AUUAGAAUUAGAAUUAGAAUUAGAGAGACGAUUAAUCACCGAUUUCAGAUUUCCGGCAUCAGGAGAAACCGGAGAAGUAAUCAACGGUGAUAAAAGAGGUAUAGCCACAUUCCAAUCGGUCGGUCGGUUGAUUUGAAUCGAUGCCGGUGCUCGACGCUGUAAACGACUAGGAUUCCGACGGUCUCCGGUGGAAGUCCGGUGGUUAAUUGACAUGAUUGGAUCGGAGAUUUGUAUUUGGGAGAGAGAAAUUAGGGCUCGAAAG